Molecule: long non-coding RNA, 6077 nt
Organism: Acanthaster planci (crown-of-thorns starfish)
Lineage: Eukaryota; Metazoa; Echinodermata; Asteroidea; Valvatida; Acanthasteridae
Source: RefSeq, a predicted model, not a curated record
CGAUAGAGGGCGCUGUAAAAAAAAAGUCACGCGCGCCAUUUUGAAAGGACAAAAAUUGACGUUUCGGAAUCUGGUCUUUCGUGGAUUUUCCAGGAAUGCAGGAAAACGUUGACGAGAAGAGGUGCCUACAUGGAUGCCUGUAGAAGGGUGCUCUGUCCAUCUUGGAACAAGAGUUCUUGGACUUGUCAAGAUGGAAGAUUUUACAUUCUAGUACAUCUGCUGAUGAGAGACACUGCCAUGCAAGAUGCCUGCAGAAGGGAUGCCAUCAUUGUCACGUCCACUUCGAACAAGAGUUCUUGGAUUUGUCAAACAGGUUGGUGGUAGACACCUGCAGAAGGGCUACUCUCUAUUUUGGACAAGAGUUCUUAGACUUUGAAAAGAUAAUGAACUACUCAAGAUAAGACAUCAGCAUCAAAUACUGAGGGAAAAGCAUCUUUUCAGUCUCCGCAAGGACUUUCGCGUGAAAUAUGCAAAUAUACAAACAUGCAGUGCAGUAUAUAUUGCGGGAGUUGUUGAUUCAACUCACUCUUCGCUGAGCAGCUGUGACCCACUCUCCCUCAACCUGCCCAUCCCCACAAACAGGCCAGUAACAGGAUUCUUAAUUAUAGACUUGAUUGAAAAAGGGGGGCAUGACCCUCGUCCAACGUACGCCCAGGUCGCGUCCAUGGUUCCUCCAUAAGAUGGGGGUUUUACAUGGCCACUGAGUGCUGAACUGUAAAGUUCAGAUUGACGUUGGGCACCGAAUUAGUCUAAGAAUCCCACGACUCUACAUUUUCAAAUUCUUUAUGAAUAUUUUGACCACAUAUGCUUAUUUGUUUCUAGAUUGAGGUUUUAUCUUGGGUUAGCCCCUUAUGAUAUUAAUUUAAAAAAAACAGAAAAAAAGAGUUACCAAGAAAAGCACAGUUGGCAGCUUUGUUGACCUAUAUAUACACCAUUUGCAGGUACUGAAAGCAACUUUGGACGCUUUCCUGAUUUCAAUAUCCAUCCCAUUUCUGGGUACUGGAAGCAAAUCUGGUUACUCUGUCAAUUUUCAUGCCCACCCCACUGCGGGUAUCGAAAGCAACUUUGCUGCUUUUCUUGUUGUUCUUUUCCUGAAUUCCAGAUAAAUGGAUGAAGCUCUCCGACAGCAUCAGCGACCCCAACCUGUGACACAUCACCCUCAAUCUUCUCCAACGUUACUCACGUCAGCAAGAGUGCCAUCCACUAUGAAAACAUACAGUGCUUCCUGGAAAAAGUGGGAGUUGUGGGCAUCCUCCUAGACCAGGGUGCCAAUCUUUUCAAUAGAGCCGCUAUAUGUAUCUUCACUCCUCCGAAGUAUGCAAAAAUCUGCAGCAGACACUGCAUCAGCUGUAGUCAAUUGGGUUCAUAGUUUAGCUGGAGUAUCAUCACCUACAGAUAGCUUGUUGGUCAAGAUGGCACUACAAGGCUACAGGAGGUUAACAGCAUCAACUCCACUGAGAAAAGAGCCUGUAACAUCCGAGAUAAUGGCAAGCUUGUACAGAGCGUGCGGGCACUCCGAUGCAUGGGGCUGGAUGACCUACGAAUACUAUUCACUUGCUUUAUUUGCUACACUGGAUUUCUACAUUUCAGCAACAUUAGCAAUGUCCAGAGAAUGGACUGUACUAUUUUAGAGGACACGCUAAUCACCUAUUUAACCAAGUCAAAAACUGACCAGUUCCGCUAAGGUACAUGUACAUGUAGUGAUAUCACUAUUGGUAGAACAUUUAAACCAUCCUGCCUGGUGGUAAUUGCUGAGCGAUACUUCCCAGCCAUGGGUGACCCAGUAGAUUCGCCGCAACUAGUACUUCACAGAAUCAUGUGAUCCAAAACUGGGCAGGCGCCGAUGAAUUGUGGAGUCAAUUACAUGUACACAAGAACUUGGGAUAUCGUACUAUGUACAUGUAGAAGUACUAAAAACCAUUUGUUCCUGAUAUCCCUAGCUAUGGCCUCCACAGCCUUAGAUUGGGAGGUGCAUCUGCUAUCUUUUUUUUUUACCUAAUUGCACAGCACAGCAGACGGACAGAUAAAAAACGCUUACAGUGUACAUCAAAAGCGAUCAUGCAGCGUCUUUGCUCCCUUCCACAGCAUGGGAAGUUGAGCUAGUAAAUCAUCAUGUACAAGUCCAAUGCGGUCGAUUCACAAUGGUACGCCUCCUGGAGUUUGCAAUGCGUUGACCAAUCAUAGCGAGAAACCUGUCGACCCUUUCCAAACGCGCGUUGGGUUGACAGAUUCUGAGCAUGGUGAUUGGCCAUUGCGUUGCAAACUAUUGGAAGCGCACUAUUGUAAACUGACCGUAUUAUCAAGACAUUGUGAAGUUUAAAUUCUGUGAUUUUCAGAAUUUAUUACUAGAUGAGGAAUGAAUAAAUAGUGGUGUGCAAGUUGUGAGGCAACAAGCAGCUCCACCAUUCCACUCAUUCACUAACUUUGUUUCCACUAAUCUCUAUAGUUUUGUUUAUUUUUAUAAGAAAAUUAUUUUCUGACAGAAGCAUGGAGGAAGAAAUUCCAGACGAUCUUGGUUGUGGGAGCUAAGUAAGCAAUCAUGUAGGUCUAAACUCCAUUUGCUGAGGGAAAUCACAUGCAUCUGGAUGUAUGGUACAAGUACAUUUAGCAUGUUCAAGGAUCAUGUAUACAGCCUUAUUUACAAUUCCAUGUAUGUUCAUGAGUGAGACUAAUUAGUACAAAUGUUCAUCAAUUUCAUGUUGAGAACAUUCUGACCAAUGGUAUACAAUAUGCCAUUUACUGAUUCCAGAACAGAUACUGACACAAAUCUAGACAUGCCUGAUAUUAAAUGCGAGUAUUAUGAUCAAUACCAGUUUGUCGAUAAUUUUUCUUAAGUACAUGUACAUGUAGAUGACUUUAAUCGCAGAUCCCAAACCUCUGCUUAAUUGCUCGAAACUCUGCUUUAUCACAAAUCCUAAACCGGUUCCACUUCUAAUUUAAAACAUUCCAUUAUGGAUAACAAUGGGCAGUUACGGGUCCUUGACACAAAGAGAAAGUCUCAGAUUAGCUCAAUUCUAGCGUGGACUGAUGCCUUUCUUGUUUAGCAUCAGUAUUUUUAAGAGCACACCCAUGCAGGAGUCAAGUACAUGCAUGUCAUCAGGACAGCAGCAGCACACUUUCCCGGCCAUGGUUGGAUUGAAUAUGACAGGCAGUUCAGAAUGCACCAGCAGUCACACCCAACUCGGUCAUGGGCAGUAAUUGACGGGGAACUAUGGGCACUUCACAGGACUGCACCUAGAAUCCCUAAUACAUACAGUGUACGUUGCAGGCUCAAGGGGCACUCAGGGGGGCAAAACAUUCGGGGAGUUCCUUUUGUUGGUUCCCUCAACAAACCAUUUACAGCACAGGCUUGUGUUUCCCAUGCAAUCGAUCUUCAUGCCCAAAUUCCCAAUGCAAGUACGCGCACCAAUGCCUCGGAUGCAAUGCCGUCGGACACAGACUUGCUGCAUGCAAAGUCGGCAAAGGCAAACCAUCCGCCACCAACCAGUAAACUGUGCGCUAUGCAACCACCCUGCAGGUUUGGCAAUCUUUGUGUAUGCUGCCUUGCUCCAACACCAAUUAAACUCUUAUAGGGUCGUCAUGAGAAGUCAGUAUUGAUUCAGUGUUGUUACCAACUUUAUUUGCAAGAACGACCGAUAAGGUUGCGAUAGAAUUGUAAGCUAACUGUUGACUGAAUUGGAGAAUUGAAAAACAGACUAUUACUGCAUUCUGGAUACGGGAUACUGGACUUACAUGUACAUUGUAAAUACAGUUAGAAACAGGAUGUAGUUAAAGUCACAUAACUAAGCGAAGUUCGAUCGGCAUCAAUGGCAUACCAAGCACAGACCUUAAAGCAAAAAUAGUACUAAAAUACAUGUACAUGUAAUUAUGUCAUGAUGACGUUAUCAAGUGGUUUAUUUUUAAAUUUUGAAUAUUUAAAUAUUAUGAUACGUUUUUUUAAAUCCAUAGAAAAUCUAGCUUGGCCUCCCGCCUGCAGCAUUCUGUUUGCAGCAAGUGGCAGAGUAAAAUGUGGUCUUUAAUUCAUCUUGUGUAGGUCAAAUCACGUGACCCUUUCUUCCCUUCGAAACCGGAAGUGAGCUUACUGUUUAAAAGUGCUAAAAGAUAUUGACUUGUUUUCAUCGGUGUUAGUCGCUUUGGGUACUGUACACUUCAAAACACCUACUGGUGAUGUCACGAAAUUGUCAAGCGCCCUCUAGCAACAGGUUGAAAAUUCUGAAAAAAAUGAAUUUUGAAUAGAUGUCUGUGGCAAAGUUUCUUGGAAUCCCCUGAAAAUUGGAUCUAAUGAUAUUUACCCAUUCAACACAUUUGUGAAGUUUGGGGCUGAUGACGUUGAAGUAAAAAAGUUUCAAUAAAAAGUCCUUUUCCUCUUAAAAGUGCAGUAAAAUCAACCGUAAAGACAAAAGCGUGAAUUAACCCCCUCACAAUAUUUGUGAACUCGAAAAUUUAUCCUAUUCGCAUACUGUGCAUUGGCUACUUUGUGCGUGGACGCACAAUAUCUGCCUAUAACAUACAUGUAGGCAGCGCAGUACAUGUCUAAUUGCACUGAAACCUUGCAGAUAGUCAGAAAGGGAAGGUUUAUAAACGGAGAUUCACCUCAUAUGAUGAUAAUGUCAUAUGAUGAUUCACGUGACAUUAAAGGUGCAUCCUUUAAAGUACCAGUACUACCAUUCAGUGCAUGUAUAUCUUCUGAAGUACAUGUCCAAUUGGGUUGAAACUUGGGCAGAUAUUUACAAAGGGAAGUGUUAUAGACAAAAUUGACCUCAUGUGAUGAUGACGUCAUCAGAGGACCCCAUCACGUAACAUUAACCCUAAUACUCCUCAAACCUUCACCUGUUGGAGGACUGAGGACUGUUAGGGUUAAAGGUACACUCGUCAAAGCAGUAUAUCUGGUGAAGUGCAAGUGCGAUCGGUUUCAAAUCUUGCAGAUACAUGUAUCGUGGAAGUGGAGUGCUUUAGACAAACAAUGAUCUGAUGAGAUGAUGACGUCAUCAGGAGACAAGUCACGGCAUUAAAGGUACAUUCUGUAUGAGCCUAUAUCUUGUGAACUACAUGUUUUAUUGCUUUGAAAUUUGCUAGAAAGCUAGAAUGGGAAGUGUUAUAGACAAGAUGACAUGAUGUACAGUUAAAGGAUAUAAACUUUAAUUCGUUAUAUCCUCAAGGGUUUGAAUUUUUUGUCACAAUGAGGUCACCAAAAAUAUUACUAGAAACUUUGGGAAGAAGUGAGAAAUCCAUGUGUGAUAGUAUCUCAAAUGAAGGGAUGCCCUUUUCUUAAGAAAAAAAAAUAAAUAUCCGAAAAAGCCCUUCGCUAUGUCCAUCAGAGUUCAGACAGACAAACCUAGUUUUUCUUUUCCUUUCAUCCAAUGUGCUUGGCUUUGCCCAUAUGGAGGGAGGAUUGGCAAUUCCCUGAGUUGGGAAAUUGCUUGGCAGUUUCUUUAUGAGAAAAUAGAUCCUUGCCAACCCCAGCCUUGGUGUUUUUCCCUGCUGGGGCUCCCCUUGUAGCCUGAGGGGUAAGACGGGCCGUAUAACUUUUGUUGACCAGAGAAAAAUGGCAUUUUGACCUGUUUUUAGUACCAUAAACAUGUACUCAUUUAUUAUUCAUGCAUGUAAAUCACUUGUAAGUCACAUGUAAAACACAUAUAAAUCUCAAAUUCAACUGUUAUAAGGUUUUUAGAAGUUAACUACAAUGUAACUGCUGUUUGCGGAUGUUGUCAUGUUUAUGAUAACGUUGUUAAUGCAAACAAUCAAAAUGUUUGAUCAAGCAAAAAUGAUUCUGAUAACUUGUGUUGUAAUUAUUGGAUGUGAAGUUUAUUGGUUUACACGAUGUAUGAGAGUUUACACUCAAUAAAAUCCACGGGGGUAGUCAUGUCCAAGUAGCACUUCUGUUUCCGUGUGUACCUCCUUUCCUCCGGGCCCAAAUAGAAAUGGAAAGUUAAGCAUCUAAAAAUUUGUAGCUUUUGUUCAAGAAAACAGGCUUUGUCACUACCUGGACCGGGGUGUGUUGUCAAAUUCAUGAUCUCGUUAUUACCCAUCUCACAUUGGUGAGAGUCAACUAUAACAUGACUGAUCUAUUGUGAGAC